UAUCAUUUCAGAUGCACUACGAGCUAUGGUACUAUAAUGGUCAUCAAGGGGGAGUGUUAUGAAUAAUAGAUGGAUGCCCAUUAUAAGGUCAAUCUUCUAGAAGUUUCUAGAAUUACUUGUAUCUAGGGUUUUACUUUGUCACCAAGUAAAAUCCUUCCCAUGUACUCCUAU
Molecule: small RNA, 171 nt
Filed under: Arabidopsis thaliana (thale cress)
Lineage: Eukaryota; Viridiplantae; Streptophyta; Magnoliopsida; Brassicales; Brassicaceae
Description: ATSL093240
Source: RNAcentral